CCUGACUCUGGGAUAAGCGCUGGAAACGGCGUCUAAUACUGGAUACGAGUAGCGACCGCAUGGUCAGUUACUGGAAAGAUUUAUUGGUUGGGGAUGGGCUCGCGGCCUAUCAGCUUGUUGGUGAGGUAAUGGCUCACCAAGGCGUCGACGGGUAGCCGGCCUGAGAGGGUGACCGGCCACACUGGGACUGAGACACGGCCCAGACUCCUACGGGAGGCAGCAGUGGGGAAUAUUGCACAAUGGGCGCAAGCCUGAUGCAGCAACGCCGCGUGAGGGAUGACGGCCUUCGGGUUGUAAACCUCUUUUAGCAGGGAAGAAGCGAAAGUGACGGUACCUGCAGAAAAAGCGCCGGCUAACUACGUGCCAGCAGCCGCGGUAAUACGUAGGGCGCAAGCGUUAUCCGGAAUUAUUGGGCGUAAAGAGCUCGUAGGCGGUUUGUCGCGUCUGCUGUGAAAUCCGGAGGCUCAACCUCCGGCCUGCAGUGGGUACGGGCAGACUAGAGUGCGGUAGGGGAGAUUGGAAUUCCUGGUGUAGCGGUGGAAUGCGCAGAUAUCAGGAGGAACACCGAUGGCGAAGGCAGAUCUCUGGGCCGUAACUGACGCUGAGGAGCGAAAGGGUGGGGAGCAAACAGGCUUAGAUACCCUGGUAGUCCACCCCGUAAACGUUGGGAACU
Molecule: ribosomal RNA, 673 nt
Filed under: Microbacterium maritypicum
Lineage: Bacteria; Bacillati; Actinomycetota; Actinomycetes; Micrococcales; Microbacteriaceae
Description: bacterial SSU rRNA
Rfam family: Bacterial small subunit ribosomal RNA
Source: RNAcentral